Molecule: ribosomal RNA, 447 nt
Filed under: uncultured bacterium
Lineage: Bacteria
Description: partial 16S ribosomal RNA
Rfam family: Bacterial small subunit ribosomal RNA
Source: RNAcentral
AGCGAACGCUGGCGGCAGGCUUAACACAUGCAAGUCGAACGCCCCGCAAGGGGAGUGGCAGACGGGUGAGUAACACGUGGGAACGUACCCUUUGGUUCGGAAUAACUUGGGGAAACUCAAGCUAAUACCGGAUAAGCCCUUAUGGGGAAAGGUUUACUGCCGAAGGAUGGGCCCGCGUCUGAUUAGCUAGUUGGUGAGGUAAUGGCUCACCAAGGCGACGAUGAGUACCUGGUCUGAGAGGAUGAUCAGCCACACUGGGACUGAGACACGGCCCAGACUCCUACGGGAGGCAGCAGUGGGGAAUAUUGGACAAUGGGGGCAACCCUGAUCCAGCCAUGCCGCGUGAGUGAUGAAGGCCUUAGGGUUGUAAAGCUCUUUUACCCGGGACGAUAAUGACUGUACCGGGAGAAUAAGCCCCGGCUAACUUCGUGCCAGCCGCCGCGGUAA